UGUACGCGUGUGUCGGUAGGUUACAGAACUCGUGAUGUGACUUUUUGAUAUUGUGUUCGAACCGGUAAGUGCCCAGCUUCAAGAACUGCAUUGGUAAGUUGUUAAAUGUGGGUCCAGACAAUGUCCACAAGAUGAGCACGUACAUUUGGCGCAAUUAUUAGUCCAGUGCAGCUGUGAUGGAAAGACAUUUCAUAGACAAAGGGAUUUCAAAUAUGUCUGCAUUUCAGAGAGAUUUCAACGUGAAGUGUGUGUUCCCUUGUUCUGAGAGGAGUCUGGCCACACGACAUCCAUCGCCAACUCCACUCCACGGUACACGACGUCCAUCCUUUAAUGGUUUAAUGGCUGGACUUUCCAGAGAUGCCUGGAGAGGGGCUGAAAUCGAGAGAGAUUUGAAAUUCCGCUCAUGACCAGUGGGUCGUGUAUCUUACAGGCUGUUCUAGUUUCCGGCCAGUUGUUGUGGGGC
Molecule: non-coding RNA, 463 nt
Organism: Zootermopsis nevadensis
Lineage: Eukaryota; Metazoa; Arthropoda; Insecta; Blattodea; Termopsidae
Source: RefSeq, a predicted model, not a curated record